RNAcentral lists this ribosomal RNA (454 nucleotides) under uncultured bacterium. RNAcentral's name for it is "bacterial SSU rRNA". It matches the Rfam family "Bacterial small subunit ribosomal RNA", at positions 340 to 786 of the family's 1533-position model. The record is from RNAcentral.
UACGGAAGGCAGCAGUGGGGAAUAUUGCACAAUGGGCGCAAGCCUGAUGCAGCCAUGCCGCGUGUAUGAAAAAGGCCUUCGGGUUGUAAAGUACUUUCAGUCGUGAGGAAGGUGUUAAGGUUAAUAACCUUAGCAAUUGACGUUAGCGACAGAAGAAGCACCGGCUAACUCCGUGCCAGCAGCCGCGGUAAUACGGAGGGUGCGAGCGUUAAUCGGAAUUACUGGGCGUAAAGGGCACGCAGGCGGUUAAUUAAGUUGGAUGUGAAAUCCCCGGGCUUAACCUGGGAAUGGCAUUCAAGACUGGUUAGCUAGAGUCUUGUAGAGGGGGUAGAAUUCCAUGUGUAGCGGUGAAAUGCGUAGAGAUGUGGAGGAAUACCGGUGGCGAAGGCGGCCCCUGGACAAAGGCUGACGCUCAUGUGCGAAAGCGUGGGGAGCGAAACAGGGAUUAGAUACC